Molecule: long non-coding RNA, 1048 nt
Organism: Ictalurus punctatus (channel catfish)
Lineage: Eukaryota; Metazoa; Chordata; Actinopteri; Siluriformes; Ictaluridae
Source: Ensembl
UUCGCUUUGCUCUAGGGUCUGAGGAUAUCUCAACCACAUACAGACACAUUAGCACGUGCGUGUUACCAUCUGUUUCUGAGGCGAGCUUCGUGCGAGCACGCCGCGAGGAGAUGGCGUAGCCUUCUGAAGAGCACAUCAGAGAGAGCGAGAGUCUGAGUGCUGCCAUUUCUGGCUCUUUUGUCCUCGCGGAUCUAAAUCCACCUUCAUACAUCCAGCUGUGAAAACGGGGAAAAUUUGCUGCUGAAAACCAGUCAGAUGUUUUUUUGUUCCUCUGCUGCACAGAAACAGGCUGUGUGGGAUAAACUUGCAGUGUGUGGUCGCAUGAAAAAGGCUUCAUCAAACUGGGUCGACGCGACGCUUUCAUAAUAAGUUGAGAACAAGUUUGCGACUUCAUUAUCCUUGCAAAUCAGUUUGAUUUUGCUUUGUGCGAACCACUAUUCCGACGGAAACCCAGAAAAUCCUUUUCAGCCGCUACAAAGGAGGCCGCCGUGCAUUAAUUGAAGUCACAGGUGGACACCGGCGAUCAGCGGGACGGUGAGAACGCGACGCGAUGGCAUUAUUAGCAUGACAUUGAGCUUUGGAAGCUGAUCUGUUUGAGCAGAACGGACAGGUGAGGAGGUGAGAGAGCUGGACGGAGUGAAGAAAUAAAGCGCCGCUGCAUCACCCUGUAGGCGUUUCAUUACACGUAAAAACACACCAAAGAACGACGUGAGGUUCUUCAGCCGACGCAAAACUGAAUCCGAAAAGGAAUAACACACUUCAGGAUGUGCGGUUAUUUGGAAAGAAUCAACUUCACAGAGGCUUGCUUUCAUGCUGCUGAUGAGAAUGCAACCCUGCGAAUCAGGAUGAAUAAAUAAAGAACAGCAGUGAUGGAUGUGGAGAAAGUGAUGGCUCGGUUGUGGCGUUGGUUUAUUUCACAAAGUAAAAUAUUGAGGAUGGACAAAGAAGGAAGUCAUCUGUCGAGUUCGCUCUCAAAUGCGCUCGGGCUGCUGCUUUUACGGCCGAGAAAUAACACGGAAAAACAAAGGACCCGGAAAUUGGACUGAGG